CUUUCGAGCAGCUGCCUUAGAGCGAACCCGUCUCUGUUGCAAAAGAGUGGGAUGACUUGCUAGUAGAGGUAAAAAGCCAACCGAGCUGGGUGAUAGCUGGUUGCCUGUGAAAUGAAUCUUAGUUCUCCCUUAAUUCCUUCCCCCAAGGGCCAUUAGCAACUCAACCCGUCUGUGACGAAUUAAGAGUAAUUUGAAGGGGGUACAGCCCCUUCAAAAAAGAGUACAAUCUCCCCUAGAGGAUAACCCCUCCUACCCUAACUAAACCUGUGGGCCUUCAAGCAGC
This 283-nucleotide non-coding RNA is filed under the name Chlamydotis macqueenii (Macqueen's bustard). RNAcentral describes it as "Chlamydotis undulata macqueenii Bacterial large subunit ribosomal RNA". It matches the Rfam family "Bacterial large subunit ribosomal RNA", at positions 733 to 1093 of the family's 2925-position model. The record is from Rfam by way of RNAcentral. Lineage: Eukaryota; Metazoa; Chordata; Aves; Otidiformes; Otididae.